This 286-nucleotide ribosomal RNA is filed under the name Rhyncogonus testudineus. Its description in RNAcentral is "partial 12S ribosomal RNA". The record is from RNAcentral. Lineage: Eukaryota; Metazoa; Arthropoda; Insecta; Coleoptera; Curculionidae.
UAGUAAUAGUUAUGUUCUUGAAAAUUAAAAAAGUUGGCGGUAUUUUAGUCUAUUUAGAGGAACCUGUCCUAUAAUCGAUAAUCCACGAUUUGAUUUACUUAUUGUUUUAGUUUGCAUAUCGCCGUAGAUUGAAUAUUUUUAAAGAAAAUAUAAUGUUCAAAAAGUUUAUAAGAAAAAAAUUCAGGUCAAGAUGUAGCAUAUAAAUAAGAAGAGAUGGGUUACAAUAAAUUUAUUUAUAAUGAAUAAAUAAAUUUAAUUUUAUUUUGAAGGUGGAUUUAAAAGUAAU